RNAcentral lists this long non-coding RNA (650 nucleotides) under Gallus gallus (chicken). The record is from RNAcentral. Lineage: Eukaryota; Metazoa; Chordata; Aves; Galliformes; Phasianidae.
GUGGGAGGCGCUGAAGUUCUCCAACCCGUCGCGAAGUAAUUCCGUUCCUUCGAUGGUGACCCCGGGGGUUCCUGCAAAGGGGGAAUGGCUCCCUGGUGGCGUUCCCUCCCGCUCGGGCCACUACAUGAACACUGUUGGAGAUUCUGGGAAUUUAGAGAAGACGGAGUCAGACCCUCCGGAGAGGUUUACACUGAGAAGGAUGAGAGGCAACGGACAAUUUGGAAAAGGAAAUUUUGACUUUGAUACCAAGAAGGAAAGAUCACAAUGAGUGUGAUAAAAAACCUGAAACAGGUGCCCAGGGAGGCUGUGGGAUCCAUAUCCUUGGAGGUAUUCAAAACUAGCUGUACAAGGCCCUGAGCAACCUGUUGCUGGGCUCCAUUUGAGUAAAGGUCUGCAGCGGUCCCUUUCCAUCUGCACCAAUCUCUGACACUUUUAUGAAGCCCAUUAGCUUCAUAAGCCCAUUAGCAGGAAAAGAAAAAAGGGAAUCAUUUCCACACUUUUUUGAAAGAGCAGUAAUUCUCAUGCUCUUGGUGAAGAACCAAUGGAGCAAUAUGGCAUUUUAACAUGUUAGCUAAGGAGAAAGAAUCAUAAACUAUUUGCAUGAGCAUAAAGCAAAGGGGACAAAUCCUGCUGGUAGCUGAGCACACGUA